Molecule: ribosomal RNA, 315 nt
Filed under: uncultured marine eukaryote
Lineage: Eukaryota
Description: bacterial SSU rRNA
Rfam family: Eukaryotic small subunit ribosomal RNA
Source: RNAcentral
GUUAAAAAGCUCGUAGUCGGAUUUACGAAUCGAGACUUGAAUUAUUUAAAUUCUAUGUUUCUUUUCUUCAUUGGUACGAAUCUACAUCUGAUUUAUUUCCGGUGUUGCCUAGUGCCUCUUUUACUUUGAGAAAAUUAGAGUGUUCAAAGCAGGUCAUCGCCUGAAUAUUACUCUUGGAAUAAUGAUAUAGGACUUUGGUUCUAAUUUGUUGGUGUAUUAGGACCGGAGUAAUGAUUGAUAAGGACGGUUGGGGUCAUUCAUACCUGCAAAGCGAGAGGUGAAAUUCUUGGACCUUUGUAUGAUGAACAACUGCGA